Molecule: ribosomal RNA, 253 nt
Filed under: uncultured bacterium
Lineage: Bacteria
Description: partial 16S ribosomal RNA
Rfam family: Bacterial small subunit ribosomal RNA
Source: RNAcentral
UACGUAGGGUGCAAGCGUUAUCCGGAAUUAUUGGGCGUAAAGAGCUCGUAGGCGGUUUGUCGCGUCUGCUGUGAAAACCCGAGGCUCAACCUCGGGCCUGCAGUGGGUACGGGCAGACUGGAGUGCGGUAGGGGAGAUUGGAAUUCCUGGUGUAGCGGUGGAAUGCGCAGAUAUCAGGAGGAACACCAAUAGCGAAGGCAGCUCGCUGGGACGGUACUGACGCUGAGGAGCGAAGGCAUGGGUAGCGAACAGG